RNAcentral lists this ribosomal RNA (896 nucleotides) under Pyrenopolyporus laminosus. RNAcentral describes it as "partial large subunit ribosomal RNA". It matches the Rfam family "Eukaryotic large subunit ribosomal RNA", at positions 40 to 961 of the family's 3401-position model. The record is from RNAcentral. Lineage: Eukaryota; Fungi; Ascomycota; Sordariomycetes; Xylariales; Hypoxylaceae.
AUAUCAAUAAGCGGAGGAAAAGAAACCAACAGGGAUUGCCCUAGUAACGGCGAGUGAAGCGGCAACAGCUCAAAUUUGAAAUCUGGCCCUCGUGGUCCGAGUUGUAAUUUGCAGAGGAUGCUUUGGGUGCGGCGCCUUCCAAGUUCCCUAGAACGGGACGCCUUAGAGGGUGAGAGCCCCGUACGGUUGGACGCCUAGCCUAUGUAUAGCUCCUUCGACGAGUCGAGUAGUUUGGGAAUGCUGCUCUAAAUGGGAGGUAAAUUUCUUCUAAAGCUAAAUACCGGCCAGAGACCGAUAGCGCACAAGUAGAGUGAUCGAAAGAUGAAAAGUACUUUGAAAAGAGGGUUAAAUAGCACGUGAAAUUGUUGAAAGGGAAGCGUUUGCGACCAGACCUUUUCCAGGCGGAUCAUCCGGCGUUCUCGCCGGUGCACUUCGCCUGGUUUAGGCCAGCAUCGGUUUUCCCAGGGGGAUAAAGGCGGCGGGAACGUGGCUCUCUCGGGAGUGUUAUAGCCCGCCGCGUAAUACCCUUGGGGGGACCGAGGACCGCGCUUCGGCAAGGAUGCUGGCGUAAUGGUCGUCAACGACCCGUCUUGAAACACGGACCAAGGAGUCGAACAUUUGUGCGAGUGUUUGGGUGUCAAACCCUCACGCGUAAUGAAAGUGAACGGAGGUGAGAGCCCCUCGCGGGUGCAUCAUCGACCGAUCCUGAUGUCUUCGGAUGGAUUUGAGUAAGAGCAUAACUGUUCGGACCCGAAAGAUGGUGAACUAUGCGUGGAUAGGGUGAAGCCAGAGGAAACUCUGGUGGAGGCUCGCAGCGGUUCUGACGUGCAAAUCGAUCGUCAAAUCUGCGCAUGGGGGCGAAAGACUUAUCGAACCAUCUAGUAGCUGGUUACCGC